AUACUCUGGUUUCUCUUCAGAUCGUAUAAAUCUUUCGCCUUUUACUAAAGAUUUCCGUGGAGAGGAACAUUUAUGAGUUUUCAUAUAAAUUUGUUUGGGCAGGGAAAAAACCA
This is a small nuclear RNA of Crotalus tigris (Tiger rattlesnake), 113 nucleotides long. RefSeq annotates it as U5 spliceosomal RNA. Lineage: Eukaryota; Metazoa; Chordata; Lepidosauria; Squamata; Viperidae. The transcript has a single exon. The record is from RefSeq and is a predicted model, not a curated record.